RNAcentral lists this ribosomal RNA (464 nucleotides) under uncultured bacterium. Its description in RNAcentral is "partial 16S ribosomal RNA". It matches the Rfam family "Bacterial small subunit ribosomal RNA", at positions 339 to 795 of the family's 1533-position model. The record is from RNAcentral.
CUACGGGUCGCAGCAGUGGGGAAUUUUGGACAAUGGGGGCAACCCUGAUCCAGCCAUGCCGCGUGAGUGAAGAAGGCCUUCGGGUUGUAAAGCUCUUUCAGCCGGGAAGAAAUCGCAUGGGUUAAUACCCUGUGCGGAUGACGGUACCGGAAUAAGAAGCACCGGCUAACUACGUGCCAGCAGCCGCGGUAAUACGUAGGGUGCGAGCGUUAAUCGGAAUUACUGGGCGUAAAGCGUGCGCAGGCGGAUGCUUAAGUCAGAUGUGAAAUCCCCGGGCUUAACCUGGGAAUUGCAUUUGAAACUGGGUGUCUAGAGUGCGGCAGAGGGGGGUGGAAUUCCACGUGUAGCAGUGAAAUGCGUAGAUAUGUGGAGGAACACCAAUGGCGAAGGCAGCCCCCUGGGAUGACACUGACGCUCAUGCACGAAAGCGUGGGGAGCAAACAGGAUUAGAUACCCCGGUAGUC